AAUUCAAUUUCGAAUUUCGAAUUUCUAACCAAUUCCCAAACAUCCUCCAACAACCUAUUCAAAAUUCGAUUUCGAAUUUUGAAUUCACUAACCAUUUUCCAAAAAUCAUCCAACAACCCAUUCGAAAUUCGAAUUUCGAAUUCCCAACCAUUUCCUAAAACAUCAUCCAAUAACCAUUCAAAAUUCGAUUUCGAAUUUCGAAUCCCUAACCAUUUCCUACAACAUCAUCCAAUAACCCAUUCAAAAUUCGAUUUCGAAUUUUGAAUUCCCUAACCAAUUCCAAAUAUCAUCCAACAACCCAUUCAAAAUUCGAUUUCGAUUUUCGAAUUCCCAACCAAUUCCCAAAAUUGCAUCCAACAACCCCUUCAAAAUUCGAUUUCGAAUUUCGAAUUCCCAACCAAUUCCUAAAAUAUCAUCCAACAACACCAUUCAAAAUUCGAUUUCGAAUUUUGAAUUCCCUAACUAACUCCCAAAAUAUCUUCCAACUAUCCAACAACUCAUUCGAUUUCGAAUUCGAAUUUUGAAUUCCAACCACUCCCCAAAUAUCCUCGACCAUCCAACAAAUAAUUCAAAUUCGAAUUUCGAAUUUUUAAUUCUUAACUAACUCCUCCCUUUCCAUUAUAAAUACGGGAACCGAAAUCAAAUUCAGAGAAUUUUUU
RNAcentral lists this long non-coding RNA (659 nucleotides) under Ananas comosus (pineapple). RNAcentral describes it as "long non-coding RNA (ACOM_LNC016613)". Lineage: Eukaryota; Viridiplantae; Streptophyta; Magnoliopsida; Poales; Bromeliaceae. The record is from RNAcentral.